CAAUAGCGUAUAUUAAAGUUGUUGCAGUUAAAAAGCUCGUAGUUGGAUUUGUGGCGGUUCCUGUGGUCCGAUUUCGGUACUUUCGGGGACUGCCAUCCUUGGGUGGAUCCUGUGUGGCAUUAGGUUGUCGUGCAGGGGAUGCCCAUCGUUUACUGUGAAAAAAUUAGAGUGUUCAAAGCAGGCUUACGCCGUUGAAUAUAUUAGCAUGGAAUAAUGGGAUAGGACCUUGGUACUAUUUUGUUGGUUUGCGCACCGAGGUAAUGAUUAAUAGGGACAGUUGUGGGUAUUCGUAUUCCAUUGUCAGAGGUGAAAUUCUUGGAUUUCUGGAAGACGAACGAAUGCGAAAGCAUUUACCAAGGAUGUUUUCAUUAA
RNAcentral lists this ribosomal RNA (372 nucleotides) under uncultured eukaryote. RNAcentral describes it as "partial 18S ribosomal RNA". It matches the Rfam family "Eukaryotic small subunit ribosomal RNA", at positions 592 to 976 of the family's 1831-position model. The record is from RNAcentral.